UUGGAAGGUAGAGUGGUGUCAAAGUUUUUUCCUUAACCUUCUGGGCCUUAUUUCCAGCUCAAGGUAAUCUGCAUGCCAAAACCACCGGUCUUGGAGGCCUGCCCUGGGAUCCUACAGGAUCAAAUGAGCACCCAAGAGAGAAGAGUCACAGUGUGUACUUUUGAAGCAUCUGCAACAUUUAAGAAAACAUGAUUUUCUAUGUAAGGCUCGGUUUCAUCCUCAAAAAAUUCUGCUGCAUCACCUCUGUUCUUGUACUGUUGGAAUAAUGGAAGUCCAAAUAUUUGUAGUGAUCCUGUGAAUAAUGAGGGUCAAGGAAAAAUCACCUUAAGUCCACGAAAUGCCUGGGGGCUAGAGAACACUGAGAAGUAUAAAUGACUAUGGAGCAAGAAUCUCGACCACCUGAGCUCUCUGGACCGCCCACAGGGGCCUGCUGCACUGCCGUGGUCUCAUCAAUUUCGGCUGUUUGGUGCCCAGAUUUUAUUGGCUGUUACAUGUUUUGAACAUCAUGCGUGAACAUAAGAUUACGAGAGGGACCAACACCAG
This 543-nucleotide long non-coding RNA is filed under the name Vulpes vulpes (red fox). RNAcentral's name for it is "lncRNA (ENSVVUG00000004844.1)". Lineage: Eukaryota; Metazoa; Chordata; Mammalia; Carnivora; Canidae. The record is from RNAcentral.